This is a long non-coding RNA of Schistocerca serialis cubense, 1538 nucleotides long. RefSeq lists it as uncharacterized. The transcript has 3 exons. Lineage: Eukaryota; Metazoa; Arthropoda; Insecta; Orthoptera; Acrididae. The record is from RefSeq and is a predicted model, not a curated record.
CUAACCAGCCAAUGGCAGGACAGAACGCUUACUGCUCAACCUUAUUUUUUUACGGACCUUGAGGUGUUCUAGGUGGCGUUGGUUGAAUUCAGCUUCCAUCCUCUCUACUGCUCUCUGUCCUGCCGCGCGGUUAAUAUGUCCACAGUCUAACAUAACUGUGAUAUGUCUGUUAGAGAACGUAUAUACACGCUCUCUAACCAGUAGCGUUCGCGGUGGAUCGUCGUGUAAUAGCAGCUUACAUAGUGACAGUGUACUGCUGUCGUCAUUUAUAUCUUUUCAGCUGGGGGGUAGAGUAAGCGAAGGUGUAAAGUGUUGUGAUUAUAGAGAACAUCUCGAAAUUAGCUAGAGGUUGAUUAGGUAAAUCAUCUAAAAAUGUUUCUAGGUGAACAGCUCAAAUCGAAAAUCAGAUUUUUACAGAAAGUUGUUGGAGACUGAUUGUUCAUGAAAUCACACAAUCAUUCCGGAGAUGACUAUCUAAAAGUUUUGAAAAGUGUGCAAUGACUUUCAUUGCGAACGCUGCACGCAAUGCAGCUGUAGAAACGAUGUUUGUUUUAAAUUUGACUGAUAAAAGAAAUUACUUUCUGUACAAUGCGUUAAGAAUUUGUUGAUCGUGAAGUAAAACGAGAAAGAUCUUGCUUUCACUCAAUACUGUGAUAACAGCAAAUCCAAGAAAGAUUUACUUAAGAAGAAGCGGUGAAGUGAAACAUAUGCUUUUGUAAAAAAGUAAGCUAGUAUCGUUCACGUAAAGACUGUAAUAACCCUUGUUUUUUUUUGUUUUAAAAUGUAGUAAGCCUGUUAUUGUCUCCGUAGUAAUGCCAAACUUUUUUAAAUAUGCGUUAGGCCUAUAUGUAGCGUAUAACAUGGGAAGUAAGAGCACGAAAACCGGAGUUGGUACAUUUAAGCGGUGUAUACCGUCUUCAUGGCGUUUCAAGAAAUUAAAAUUUUUGGAGGAAUACUAUAUGCCACAGACAAGGAAAAAGUACACAUGUACUUGUCACAGAAGAAAGCUACGGUAGACAAGUGUGUUGUAUGAAAGUGUUCCUGCAGCCUCUUCCACCUUUAAUAUUGCAGAAGUCCAAGAAGAAGAUUGUGGGGAGCCUCUGGACAUUGAAAGAAGUGUUUGUGUGUGUGCCACAUGAUAUGCUACUGCCAGGUCCAGUGUCAUACCAGAUUCAAAGGUUGCUUCGGGUCAUCCAUAAUUUGAAGUCAACUACUAGCCCUCUGCAGAAUACUGGUGUCUACAAGAUUUCAUGUGACACUUGCGGUGCCUAUUAUAUUGGUCAAACAGGACGUGCCUUUUCAAUUUGCUGUAAAGAACAUUUUCUGAGGGAAAACGGUUCGUGUGCCCCUAAUUCUUCUUAAGCUAAUGUGCAAGUGUGUCUUAAUUGUUCCCGUCUGCAACGUAAUGUGUAAUCUUUAUGGUGAGUAGCACUCUUUUCUGUACAUUGUUGGAAUACCAACCUGGAGUUCCUAUUGUUUGAAAUAAUUACAGAAGUUAUUUAUGAAAAGCUAAACAAUAAAAUGUUGUUAAAAUUGAA